Long non-coding RNA from Carassius carassius (crucian carp), 445 nucleotides. RefSeq lists it as uncharacterized. Lineage: Eukaryota; Metazoa; Chordata; Actinopteri; Cypriniformes; Cyprinidae. The transcript has 5 exons. The record is from RefSeq and is a predicted model, not a curated record.
AGCGUUAAGCUUCGCUGUAUAAAAGAAAGCGUCACGUUCUCAUCUUCCUCGUUCAGGCCGCUCUCUCAGAGAAUGGAGGUGUUAAUGGACACGAGUCUCGGUUCAGCACGAGGUUGCACCGCAGUCAUGACUGCAGAGGUCACAAGAUGAGUUGAAUAUGAACCCGUCCGGUCAUCGAAACGCUCCUGAGACCGUCCGAGGGAGCUUUCUGUAACAGACGCUGCAGUGCUGUCUGUGAGGAGACCCCAUGGCUGUGGACAGUGCACUGGUGCUGAUGUCCUGUGUGACCGCUGGAGCCAGUGCAGGUAUGAUACUGUCCACUCUCAAUAAUAUAGUGACUCCUGAUCAAGGAUGACAGAUUUCUGAUGGUGACUGCUGGAUGAAACUUGCGGAUAUGGGACUGAGAUCAGUGCUGGUCUGUUUGAGGCAGUGUCUGUGUGCUGUC